This 29-nucleotide non-coding RNA is filed under the name Mus musculus (house mouse). The record is from RNAcentral. Lineage: Eukaryota; Metazoa; Chordata; Mammalia; Rodentia; Muridae.
UGAAAAGUAGGGGCCUUUUCAAUGGGACU